RNAcentral lists this small RNA (419 nucleotides) under Histoplasma ohiense. RNAcentral describes it as "hypothetical lncRNA". The record is from RNAcentral. Lineage: Eukaryota; Fungi; Ascomycota; Eurotiomycetes; Onygenales; Ajellomycetaceae.
GACAUGGAUCAGUAUUGUUUAGAUCUGGCUCACCAGAUUCUACAGCAAAUUUUCACCGCUUGCAGCAUUUAUAAAGCACUUGUUUUGGAGGCAGGCAGACCGUGGACUGCGAAUUUGCCCAUUCGACCCUCUCUACCUUUGCUUUUUAGAAGUACAUACAUACAAUGGUAAACGCAGUCUAUUUGAGAGAAUACUCCAUCAAUGGCACAACGGCACAAUCCGUCCAAUUAAUUGCUCCUUUCCCGCAGGGCUGAUCGAACAGCAGUCAUAUUGGAGAUAUGUAUCCAAUAGCACGCGGGUAGAUAGAGAUUUCUGUGCGUACGGAGCAGCUGUUGAUUACCCCUGAAGCCGUGCAGCUCCUGUCUAAGAAGCAGUGGCCCUCGCGAUGACCCCGGAAGUCACCUCUAUAUAAAUCACAC